GACACUCAACAAUUAAGACUUCAGAUCCUCUUGACUAAACUCCACUAUGUGCAGUUUAGUCAAGAUUACCUGAAGACUUGAUGGUUGAGUAUC
Molecule: non-coding RNA, 93 nt
Organism: Marchantia polymorpha subsp. ruderalis
Lineage: Eukaryota; Viridiplantae; Streptophyta; Marchantiopsida; Marchantiales; Marchantiaceae
Source: the annotation of a GenBank genome assembly